This 724-nucleotide ribosomal RNA is filed under the name uncultured bacterium. Its description in RNAcentral is "bacterial SSU rRNA". It matches the Rfam family "Bacterial small subunit ribosomal RNA", at positions 62 to 808 of the family's 1533-position model. The record is from RNAcentral.
UCGACGGGAGAAUUGCUAGCUUGCUAAUAAUUCUCUAGUGGCGCACGGGUGAGUAACACGUGAGUAACCUGCCCCCAAGAGUGGGAUAGCCCCGGGAAACUGGGAUUAAUACCGCAUAAAAUCGCAAGAUUAAAGCAGCAAUGCGCUUGGGGAUGGGCUCGCGUCCUAUUAGUUAGUUGGUGAGGUAACGGCUCACCAAGGCGAUGACGGGUAGCCGGUCUGAGAGGAUGUCCGGCCACACUGGAACUGAGACACGGUCCAGACACCUACGGGUGGCAGCAGUCGAGAAUCAUUCACAAUGGGGGAAACCCUGAUGGUGCGACGCCGCGUGGGGGAAUGAAGGUCUUCGGAUUGUAAACCCCUGUCAUGUGGGAGCAAAUUAAAAAGAUAGUACCACAAGAGGAAGAGACGGCUAACUCUGUGCCAGCAGCCGCGGUAAUACAGAGGUCUCAAGCGUUGUUCGGAAUCACUGGGCGUAAAGCGUGCGUAGGCGGUUUCGUAAGUCGUGUGUGAAAGGCGGGGGCUCAACCCCCGGACUGCACAUGAUACUGCGAGACUAGAGUAAUGGAGGGGGAACCGGAAUUCUCGGUGUAGCAGUGAAAUGCGUAGAUAUCGAGAGGAACACUCGUGGCGAAGGCGGGUUCCUGGACAUUAACUGACGCUGAGGCACGAAGGCCAGGGGAGCGAAAGGGAUUAGAUACCCCUGUAGUCCUGGCAGUAAACG